Molecule: ribosomal RNA, 405 nt
Filed under: uncultured bacterium
Lineage: Bacteria
Description: partial 16S ribosomal RNA
Rfam family: Bacterial small subunit ribosomal RNA
Source: RNAcentral
AUUGAACGCUGGCGGCAGGCCUAACACAUGCAAGUCGAGCGAGCGGCGGACGGGUGAGUAAUGUAUGGGGAUCUGCCCGAUAGAGGGGGAUAACUACUGGCAAAGGUAGCUAAUACCGCAUACUAUUGGAGCGGCCGAUAGCGUAUUAGCUAGUUGGGGGGGGAAAGGCUCACCAAGGCAACGAUCCGUAGCUGGUUUGAGAGGAAGACCGGCCACACUGGGACGUAGACACGGCCCAGACUCCUACGGGAGGCAGCAGUGGGGAAUUUUGGACAAGGGGGGAAACCCUGAUCCAGCCAUCCCGCGUGUAUGAGAAGGCCUUCGGGUUGUAAAGUACUUUUGGCAGAUAAGCGGUAUCUGCAGAAUAAGCACCGGCUAACUACGUGCCAGCAGCCGCGGUAAUUC